RNAcentral lists this transfer RNA (84 nucleotides) under Termitinemataceae bacterium. RNAcentral describes it as "tRNA-Leu". It matches the Rfam family "tRNA". Rfam says of the family: Transfer RNA (tRNA) molecules are approximately 80 nucleotides in length. Their secondary structure includes four short double-helical elements and three loops (D, anti-codon, and T loops). Lineage: Bacteria; Pseudomonadati; Spirochaetota; Spirochaetia; Spirochaetales; Termitinemataceae. The record is from RNAcentral.
GCCCAGAUGGUGGAAUUGGUAGACACGCUGGUUUCAGGUACCAGUGCCGUUAAAAGCAUGCAAGUUCAAGUCUUGUUCUGGGCA